CCCUUAGAUGUCCUGGGCUGCACGCGCGCUACACUGGAAGUUACGGAUUGAGAUACUACCUUGUCCGAAAUGGUCCGGGUAAUCACCUAAAAGCUUGUCAUAAUUGGAAUGGAUUAUUGUAACUAGUAAUCCUGAACGAGGAAUUCCUAGUAAGUCCCAGUCAACAGCUGGUACUGAUUACGUCCCUGCCCUUUGUACACACCGCCCGUCGCUACUACUGAUUGGACGUUUAAGCAAGAUUUUUAAACACUGACAGUGUGUAGUUCACGCUAUACUACAGUGAGAGGAAGAAGAUCGAGCUUACUUGUCUAGAGGAAGUAAAAGUCGUAACA
RNAcentral lists this ribosomal RNA (332 nucleotides) under uncultured eukaryote. RNAcentral describes it as "partial 18S ribosomal RNA". It matches the Rfam family "Eukaryotic small subunit ribosomal RNA", at positions 1470 to 1796 of the family's 1831-position model. The record is from RNAcentral.